Molecule: long non-coding RNA, 3600 nt
Filed under: Olea europaea subsp. europaea
Lineage: Eukaryota; Viridiplantae; Streptophyta; Magnoliopsida; Lamiales; Oleaceae
Source: RNAcentral
GAAAAAUGACGAGGGUUUUAAUUAAUUUCUCGAUUGGAAGUUAUAUUGACAAUGUUGUAUGUGAUGUGGUGUCUAUGCAUGCGGUUCAUAUCUUGUUUGGGAGAUAUGACAUGAAAGUUAUACAUGACAGGUAGAAGAAUUGUCAUAACUUCGUCAAGGACGGGAGUUCCAUUACCCUUACGCCAUUAACACUAGCACAGGUGUAUGAAGACCAAAUUAAAUUGAAAAAUAGGGAAAAAAAGGAGAGCAAGAGAGCUGGGAAGGAGGAGAAAAAAUAGUGAUCCAAUGACUAAGAGAGAAAAUGGUGAGGUGGCCGAGGGUGGAGAAAAAAGAGAGAGACCAUAUGAGAGGAGAGGAAAAGAGUAAAUUAAGGGGAGAGAAAAGUUGAAAGCAAACUUCUUUGAAAAUGGAAGGGAAUUGAAAAAGGCUAUGGUUGAUAAAAGACAAAUGUUGUUGUUGGUAUACAAAGAGUCACUCUCAACCUUGAGGAAUCUAACAUACCCUUCCCUAGUUUGUUAAGUCUUUGUUGCGGGAAUUUGAAGAUAUGUUUUUUCGGAGGACGUGCCACGUGGAUUGCCACCAAUUCGAGAUAUCGAGCACCAAGUUGACUUCAUACCCGGAGCCGUCAUUCCGAACCGACCAGCUUACCAAAACAAUUUCGAGGAUGGGACAUGGAGGAUGUGUAUGGACUGCAAAGCCAUUAACAACAUAACGAUAAAGUAUCGACACCCUAUAUCUAGGUUAAAUGAUAUGCUAAAUGAAUUGCAUGGUGUUUGCAUUUUUAGUAAAAUUGAUCUUAAGAAUGAGUAUCAUCAAAUUCAUAUGCGGGAGGGUUAUGAGUGGAAAACAGCAUUUAAAACUAAAUAUGGAUUGUAUGAGUGGUUAGUCAUACCGUUUGGUCUCGUUAAUGCAUCAAGCACUUUCAUACGUUUAAUUAAUCAUGUUUUGCAUGCUUUCAUAGAUAAAUUUGUUGUAGUCUAUUUUGAUGACAUCCUAAUCUAUAGCAAAGACCUAGAAGAGCAUUCUAAUAUUUGAAAUGUGUGCUUAUUGUGAUAAGAAAGGAACAACUAUACGCUAAUUUUAAGAAGUGCGCGUUUUGUAUGGAUAAAGUUGUUUACCUAGGAUUUGUGGUUAGUGCUAAUGGAGUAGAAAUGGAUGAAGAAAAGAUAAAAGUUAUUAAAGAGUGGCCAACACCUAAAAGCAUAACUGAGAUUAGGAGUUUUUGGCUUAGCUGGUUUUUACAUGUAGUUUAUAAAGGAUUUUAGCACAAUCACCACACCACUCAUUAAAAUUCUUAAAAAGAGCAUAGGUUUUCACUGGGGUGAGGCACAAAAACAUGCAUUUAAUACUAUUAAGGAUAAAUUAUGUAAAUCACUUGUUUUAGCAUUACCUAGCUUUGACAAGACAUUCGAAAUCGAGUGUGAUGCAACAGGAAUAGGCAUUGGAGUAAUGUUAAUGCAGGAUCAGAGGCCUAUUACUUAUUUUAGUGAGAAGCUGAGUGGAGCUACCCUAAACAAUCCGACAUAUGACAAGGAGCUAUACUUACUCGUUUCAACAUUGGAGACUUGACAGUAUUACUUGUGGCCUAAGGAGCUCGUGCUACACACCGAUCAUGAGUCCUGAAAGCACUUGCAAGUUUAAGGUAAGUUGAUCAAGUAACAUGCGAGGUGGAUGGAAUUUAUAGAGACAUUUCCAUACGUUAUCCGAUAUAAACAAGGUAAUGAAAAUGUGGUUGCGGGUGCAUUGUCUCGAAGGUACGUCCUUCCUAAUUCUUUAAGUGCAAAGUUACUUGGCUUUGAACAUAUUAAGAGCAUAAAAUAAGGGAGCUGUUAACAAAUUUUAUAAACAUGAGGAAUAUUUGUUUAGAGAAAUAAAUUGUGCGUUCCUAAUUGUUCUUUGCGUGAGUUGUUGGUAAAGGAAGCACACAGUGGAGGUCUAAUGGGUCACUUUGGGGUUCAAAAUACUUUAGAAAUGUUAAGAAAACAUUUUUAUUGGCCUAAAAUGAGAAGUGAUGUAAAAUGAAUUUGUGAGAAAUGCAUAACUUGUAAGAGAGCUAAUUCUAAAGUUUUAUCCCAUGUUUGUAUACUCCUUUGCAUGUACCUAGUGAACCUUAGGUGGAGAUAUCAAUGAAUUUCGUGUUGGGUUUACCUAGAACAAAAAGGGGUCGGGAUUCAAUAUUUGUUGUGGUAGAUAGGUUUAGUAAAAUGACACACUUUACACCAUGUCACAAAAUCGAUGAUACCACUAAUAUUGCAGGUUUGAUCUUUAGGAAUAUAGUACAUUUGCAUGGGGUGCCUAAUCUGAUCGAGAUGUUAAGUUUUUGAGUCAUUUUUUGCGUAUUUUGUGGAAUAACUUAGGCACUAAAUUGUUAUUCUCUACAACUUGUCAAAUGGGCAAACUGAGGUAGUAAAUAGAACCAUGACUCAAUUGCUUCGUAUUGUGAUAAUUGAAAACUUGAAAAUUUGGCUUUUAUUGAAUUUGCUUAUAAUAGAACUGUACACUUUACUACUUCGUUUUCGCCUUUUGAAAUCAUUUAUGAAUUUAAUCCACUAACUCAUUUGGAUUUGUUACAUUCACCUAUGAAUGAAUGGGUAGCUUGGAUGGUAAGAAAAAAGAUGAGUUGGUAAAGGCACUCCACGAGAAAGUCAAGAUGUAAAUUGAAGAAAAGGGUAAGCUUAUUGCAUCAAAGGCAAACAAAGGAAGAAAGCGUGUGACAUUCGAACAAGGUGAUUGGAUCUGGGUACAUUUCAGAAAGGAGCAUUUUCUAAAGCAGAGAAAGUCUAAAUUGCAGCUAUGAGGAGCUGGCCCAUUUCAAGCCAUCGAAAAGAUCUACGAUAACGCAUACAAAGUGGAUCUUUCAGUAGAUCUUUCAGGUGAGUAUAAUGUUUCAGCUACAUUCAACGUUCCUGAUCUAUCUCUUUCUGAUGCAGGUGCAUAUUCGAAGACGAAUCCUUUUGAAAAAUGAGGGAAUGAUAAGAUCCAAGAUGUGAGAAUCAUGAAGGCAAGUUUGAGCUGAGACCCAUUAAUUAUCGAAAAAGGUUUGAUGACACGAUUGAGAGCUAAACAAGUUAAAGAAGCAAUGUGGAUGCUCAUCAAAGCCACUAUUGAUGACACCAUGUUCGGGAAGCAAAAUAGAGUAAGUUUCAUGUUGGGUUAGAAGGUCGAAGAGACUUGGAUCAACGUGAUAAAGGUGGACGAAAAAAAGGCUACCGGACAAAGCCAUGUGACUGCACAGCUUUGUGGUGCUUACGGUCGAACAAACCUAUGCAGGGAUUUACCGAGGGAAAUAAUUCUAUGUGGAUGCAUGGUUCAAUUUCAGGGAUGCGUUUUUUAAUUUUUUGCAAAUUUCCAUAUUUGAUUUGAAUUCCAUAUCUAUACGACUUUUGUCAUAAUUAAAAGAUCAAGCACGAUUUUUACCUAGGUUUAGGAGACUAGUAUAAAUACUUUACAUCUUUCAUUGUAUUAACAAAACUUUUGACAACUUGAUAAUUGAGAGAUUAUUGUUUUCUUAAUUGUUCUUCCGAAAAAAAUAAUAAAUAAAUUAUAGAGCCAUGCGACUUCAUGGCAUAUCGCAUAGCUAUAUGCUGAGACCAAUAGGCA